AGAGUUUGAUCCUGGCUCAGAGCGAACGCUGGCGGCAGGCCUAACACAUGCAAGUCGAACGAACUCUUCGGAGUUAGUGGCGGACGGGUGAGUAACACGUGGGAACGUGCCUUUAGGUUCGGAAUAACUCAGGGAAACUUGUGCUAAUACCGAAUGUGCCCUUCGGGGGAAAGAUUUAUCGCCUUUAGAGCGGCCCGCGUCUGAUUAGCUAGUUGGUGAGGUAAAGGCUCACCAAGGCGACGAUCAGUAGCUGGUCUGAGAGGAUGACCAGCCACAUUGGGACUGAGACACGGCCCAAACUCCUACGGGAGGCAGCAGUGGGGAAUCUUGCGCAAUGGGCGAAAGCCUGACGCAGCCAUGCCGCGUGAAUGAUGAAGGUCUUAGGAUUGUAAAAUUCUUUCACCGGGGACGAUAAUGACGGUACCCGGAGAAGAAGCCCCGGCUAACUUCGUGCCAGCAGCCGCGGUAAUACGAAGGGGGCUAGCGUUGCUCGGAAUUACUGGGCGUAAAGGGAGCGUAGGCGGACAUUUAAGUCAGGGGUGAAAUCCCGGAGCUCAACUUCGGAACUGCCUUUGAUACUGGGUGUCUUGAGUGUGAUAGAGGUAUGUGGAACUCCGAGUGUAGAGGUGAAAUUCGUAGAUAUUCGGAAGAACACCAGUGGCGAAGGCGACAUACUGGAUCAUUACUGACGCUGAGGCUCGAAAGCGUGGGGAGCAAACAGGAUUAGAUACCCUGGUAGUCCACGCCGUAAACGAUGAUUGCUAGUUGUUGGGGUGUUUACACCUCGGUGACGCAGCUAACGCAUUAAGCAAUCCGCCUGGGGAGUACGGUCGCAAGAUUAAAACUCAAAUGAAUUGACG
This 860-nucleotide ribosomal RNA is filed under the name uncultured Brevundimonas sp. RNAcentral describes it as "bacterial SSU rRNA". It matches the Rfam family "Bacterial small subunit ribosomal RNA", at positions 8 to 915 of the family's 1533-position model. Lineage: Bacteria; Pseudomonadati; Pseudomonadota; Alphaproteobacteria; Caulobacterales; Caulobacteraceae. The record is from RNAcentral.